UACCUUUUCGGCGCCUCAAUUGGUCCCUAUAUUGCGAGAUGCCGGCUUCGGUCGGCUAUGGCGAUAAAUGGCCUGCGUAAUAAGCCUAUCGGACCCGGGGGCGGUACCCGGCGCCUCCACCAAAACCCGCUGCCGGGCGGGCUUUGGCGGGGGCGAAAUAGGAUCGACGAGGGUGUAAAGGUUGUGCUUUCGCUCGGCAUGGUACCACCGAUAUCGGACCAAAUUGAUAGUUGCGAAUGACAACUACGCUCCGGUUGCUCAGGCUGCGUAAUGCGGUCCUGAAAUACCGAAAUUAAGCCCUUGCGGUUAGCACUGUAAGGCGGGGUUCGGGAGCACCUGGCAACAGAAGCUCCCACU
This 357-nucleotide transfer-messenger RNA is filed under the name Rhodobiaceae bacterium. It matches the Rfam family "Alphaproteobacteria transfer-messenger RNA". Rfam says of the family: Bacterial tmRNA, also known as 10Sa RNA or SsrA, is named for its dual tRNA and mRNA-like properties. Its role is to liberate the mRNA from a stalled ribosome. Lineage: Bacteria; Pseudomonadati; Pseudomonadota; Alphaproteobacteria; Hyphomicrobiales; Rhodobiaceae. The record is from RNAcentral.